RNAcentral lists this ribosomal RNA (253 nucleotides) under uncultured bacterium. RNAcentral's name for it is "partial 16S ribosomal RNA". It matches the Rfam family "Bacterial small subunit ribosomal RNA", at positions 524 to 776 of the family's 1533-position model. The record is from RNAcentral.
UACGAAGGGGGCUAGCGUUGUUCGGAAUUACUGGGCGUAAAGCGCGCGUAGGCGGACGUUUAAGUCAGGGGUGAAAUGCCGGGGCUCAACCUCGGAACUGCCUUUGAUACUGGACGUCUGGAGUUCGGGAGAGGUGAGUGGAAUUCCGAGUGUAGAGGUGAAAUUCGUAGAUAUUCGGAGGAACACCAGAAGCGAAGGCGGCUCACUGGCCCGAUACUGACGCUGAGGCGCGAAAGCGUGGGGAGCAAACAGG